Molecule: long non-coding RNA, 231 nt
Filed under: Solanum tuberosum (potato)
Lineage: Eukaryota; Viridiplantae; Streptophyta; Magnoliopsida; Solanales; Solanaceae
Description: long non-coding RNA (STUB_LNC004890)
Source: RNAcentral
CCAUUGUAACAACAUACUCGAUGAAAUCUCAAUCCAACCCUUAACUCUACCUCAUAGAGAUAAAGAGAUUGUUUCCUAUAGACCCUUGGCUCCUUGCCCCUCCCCCUACUCACCCAAAGUAAGGUCCAAUUGACCUUCUCUUUCCCAAAGAAGGUGUUGGACCUCUAGGAUUAUUUCCUUGCGUUUAACCCCUUUCUCAUUCAGGAUGGAAGUUUGAAAAAGGUGAGAUUG